AUCCAGUCGACGAGCCCCAAAUAGGACGAAACGUGCGUCCUGGUU
Molecule: non-coding RNA, 45 nt
Filed under: Schistosoma mansoni
Lineage: Eukaryota; Metazoa; Platyhelminthes; Trematoda; Strigeidida; Schistosomatidae
Source: RNAcentral